RNAcentral lists this ribosomal RNA (951 nucleotides) under Triticum aestivum (bread wheat). RNAcentral describes it as "partial small subunit ribosomal RNA". Lineage: Eukaryota; Viridiplantae; Streptophyta; Magnoliopsida; Poales; Poaceae. The record is from RNAcentral.
AUGUCCAAGCGGCAGUUGAGGCUUCAGCCAUGUUGCCACAAGGCCAAGCGUAGGCCGCCGCCGCAGCAGCAGCAGCAGCCGCAGCCGCGACAGCAUGUCUAUCUCGUGGUGGACGACUGGGAAACUGGAUACAGCGUCCGCAAGAUAGACGUCGACGACAUGGACCCUCCUCACGCCGGCGCCGACCUGGACGACGACGAGGCGGAGCCCCUCCCAGAUCCUCCGGUUGUGCGCUUCUACGGCCGCCACUGCCGCCUGUCGCAUUUCGGCGCGUACGGCACCAACAUACUCGCCAUGCUGGGCCACAGCGAUGCCGCCACCGGGGCCUUCCCCGUAUUCGACACAAAAACGCUGGGGCUCACCCUCUGCCCCCAUCCGGACGUCCACAGUGCCCAGCCCUUGUUCGCAACAGUCGCUGGCGAGCUUUACUUGACGGUGGGAUACUCCACGUUUGUGCUCGACUCCUUGCCACUCCCCGGACCAUACGACGACGAAGACAAGCAGUGCUCUUGGAUCAAAAGCCCAAGGAUCUUUGCUCCGUUCAAUUCCAUUGGUGUUUGCCGCCACAAAGGCGGCAUCGGCCACGUCUGCUCCUGCGAUGCCCCGCCCCUGUCUGAUUACGCUACAACGUUGUCGACCAUGCCGGCUUGGAAGCUUGGCGAGGACCAGCUCUUCGACGCGUACGACGACAGGCACCUGGGAGCCACCCUUCUCUACCUGGGCGGCAUCAGCGACUACUGCCUCAUAGAGUCUCGCCUGCACAAGGAUCAGGAGCCUUUAGGACCCUGUGAUGGGCCACGCCGCCGUGUGCUGCGCGUCACCAAGUUUGGUCUCAAGUAUGAUAAAAGUGGAGAGCUCAGGACGACGCGGCAAACUGUGCGCUCCUACCAGAUGACCGAAGGACAUGAAUUUAAUGAGUCUUGCUUAACUCCUGUGGCUUUCUGGAUGUAG